ACUUCUCCAUCUACUCUGCUGCUUCUCGCGACAAAGAAAUUGAAGAACACUACACCUCUGCUUCAUCGAAAAGCCACCGUUAAUAGCAUGCGUACUCGUUUUCUCAAUAUCGACUACUUCAAAGCUUCGAAUGGAGCCCUAGAUGAACUAAACUUUCUCCGUCUUCCAGUCCCUCAUUUCCCUCCCUCGAACAUCUGCUUCGGAGGAGAACUUUGUUGCUUUGAUUCCGUUUUAAGCGUCUCUUUGGACGUCGAGGGAUUUUCAAUUGAUGAUGCUCUCUCUCGCUUCUUCUCUGACGUUCUUCCUCACAGCAUUGUCGUUGAAAUUGCAGAUUUUCCUGAUUUUUGCGCACAGAAUCGAAAUGAUUGCACUGUCGGAAGGAAAAGAAUUGCAGAAAGGACAUUUUCAAUUUCUCAACUCGCCGACUUUCGAUCCACAGAGGAGAGAAGAUUCUCUUUGUAUGACGGAAUUAUUUCAAAUAAGGCAAGGAAUUUCGGAUCUGAACUUCUGGAUAUUGAAGUAAUAGAGGAAAAUGAGCCUACUGGUGAAGACAAGUACAGAAGCGGGUUUAGAGUUAUGCAAUUUGAAUCACAUGAGCUGGAUUUCUUCUUGGAUGAGCAUCUGUUCUUUGAUGGAAAAGAAGAUGGACAAAUCUUCUCUGAAAUCCUAGAGCAUAAUAGUACUACACAUAUGCUGGAUUUCGUGCUGGGAAUCACAAUUCAAUACCCUCAUGAAGCUACAAAAUCAGUUUAUUCAGUUGAAGAGAUAGCUUCAGACUAUCAUAUGGAGGAAAGGGAAUCUUAUCUUAUGGAAGAUGCAGGUUCUGCACAGGAUGCGAUUUGUUACUAUGGAAACAAAUUACCUCUUUUAGAAGCAAAUGAAAUUAGCACGAGAUGCUACACAGGCCCAUCCAUGGAUGAAGAGCUUCAUUUUCUAUUUGAAAAUAUUGGAUAUCAAAAUUUGACUGAGGAAGAUGUCCUAGUGAUUGACAACAAGGAAUUAUUGAGAUCUAUGGAUACUGAUGUUUUAGAGUGCUUACCAGAACAAUGUUCAAUAAAGCAAUGCCCUCAACCUGAACUGACACAUCUUGAUUUGGCCCUAGAAAUGGAAUUUAUAAAUGUAAAGGAAGAGAAUGAUCUUAAAGAGGUAUCAGCGGUUAGCCUGGAAAUGUCAGGUGGUGGUUCUUUUCCGGUAACCAACCUACCUUAUUUUCAGGAGUUUCAGAUCCUUGAUUUAGACUACAAAUCUUUUGAAGCCUUUUCUGGCUCACAAACAAUCAAAGAACCAGAGGCAUGUGCCAAGAUGUUCAAAGAAGAUACAGACUCUAUUUGUAAUUUUUAUGAGUCAAUUGUUAGUCAUGAGCUAACACUGGCUGAUGACUCAUUCAAACCCUUACCUAUUCCUGUUGUCUCUGAUGGCAUAGAUGUACAGUUAAUGUCUACAAUUAUUGAGGAAAUAUUGGUCGACUCCAAACCACAUCUUCCAUCUGCAUCUGAUGGGAUAUAUUUAGAUUGGCACUUCUUGGAGGAAGAUGGAUGUAGACAUGAUAUUUUUACUACUCAGUGGAACAUACUAGAGGGGAUAGAUACAUAUAGCACUGAUUAUGAGUCUUUUAAUACUGAACUGGUGGUAACUGAUUUUGUUUACUUUGAGGAUAUUCCUGAUGGGUCAAACGUGUUAGAAAGAAAGGAAAUAUUGAAUGAGAUUACCAGUGUUGAUAAUAAGCAAGUUUCUUCAAGUUUGUCAAAAUAUGAAUGUGAAACCGGAAAAGAGAAUCUCCAACCCAGUGGAAUUGUUGAGAAGGUUGUGCCAUUAUCUGAAAUGAUGUCAAAUUUCAAUGAUCUGGAGUUUUUCUUGAAUCCUCACAGAGCUGCUAUACAGAGAAAUAGUGAACCUGCUGUUAAGGAUACACCUGACAACAAAGCUGAAUUCUCUGUUGUUUCACCCAGCAACUCAAUAUCAGCAUGCGCUUCCACUGAAGCAAAAUUGCAAAAGUGGGAUAUUGAGGUUCACCAAGUUAAACUAUCUGACAAUAUUCUGGAUCUCAUUGUCCACUUCCAAAAAAUCUACUUGGAGGUAUUGGAAAGUAGUACAGAUUUGAAAAAGAACUCAUCUUCAGUUGUUAAUGAUAUUAACUUGCUAAGCAUUAAAAAGCAAAAGCUGAUGGAUUGGAUUAAAUACAGAAGUGCAGGGAGAACAACAUUGGCUUGCAGUGAUGAAACCCUCGUAGCAUUUGCCACAUUAUAUGCAAUUAAACAGAUGGCUUCUUACUUGUGCUUUUAUGGAAUCCAUGUGACUUCUUUGUAUGUAAACAAGUUAUGUAGAAGCUUCAAUCACUUGAAACUCAGAUUAAGCUUCCUCCAAUCCUCGAUUGAGAAUGAGCUCCAGAAGGCUGAUAUUAAAAUAACUGAAUCACACCCAUCCCUAUCUGUUAUCCAGGAGAUUUUGUUGGCAAAAACAUCUGAAAAUGGUAAAGUAUUGAUUGUGGCUGACCAAGUUUUCUGGUGUCCAUUGAAGAGAUUGUUGAAUUCCAUGGGAGUAUUAUUCCAUGAAGUACAAAAUAUUCAAAAACAUGCAGAUCAGCCAGAUGCUUGGGAUGGUGAUGAGGGCAGAGAACUUGCAAUGCAAGCCUUGCAACAUUCUGAUUGCUUAUUAAUAUCUCAAGAGCAUUUUACUGCAUCACUUCCAUUCAACAAGUUCAGAAUUCUCUUGGAAUAUGGAGGUUCAUACAGCUCAUCUAGAAUAUCCACAAUUUGCCCGAAGGUAGUUGGUUUGCCUUUUGUCCACUUCCUGAAGGUGGAACUAGAUGAAUGCAUUGCUUCCAAAGCGCUUUGUGAAGGUGUUUAUGUACCAGAAAGUUCUCAGUUUAUAAUGGGGGAAACCACUCAAUCAAUUCCUACCCUGUAUGAGGGUAUCUAUGGCCAGAAGUUUGAGGAACUGCUAAACGUUUUACCUAUUGAGGAGAGUUUUCAAAUGGAAAUUUUGGGAGCUACAGAUCAUGUAGAGACUUGCAGUGUGCCUAUGACAGGUCCUAGUGUGUCCUCUGACAUGGAAAGCAAGCAGAUACAAUCAACUAUGCCUUCAUAUCCUGAUAUAGUCCUUGUUGUGAACACCCAAAAUUUUGAUAAGGAAAUGCUAAUAUCCCGGAGAAGCUCAUACCAAAGGAUUCUUGCACUGGAGAAACAAGGAGUUCAAGUUGUGGAGCGUGAAAUGAAUCUUCCUGUGGAUCUUGUCAUUAGUGCUGCAAUGUGCCUAGUAUGGUAUGAUUAUAGAAACAUUGGACAAAAAACAACAUCUACAGAAGAAGCUUCUUCAAGCAUACCAUUGUGCAUUGAAAAUAUUGCGACGAACAUUCUGACAUCACUCAGUUUUGCUUUCAGCAAUUGUAUCCUGGUAUUUGAGGGGGAGAGAAAUUUCCUUGCUUCCACAAUGGAGUCAUCAGAUGCAAUCUAUGCUGCUGCAGCUAGUCUGGGAGUAGAUUUACAACUCUUUUACUCGUAUUCAUGUGAAUUAACAGAUGAGAUUAUCCUUGGUUGUAUCAGAUAUGCUAUUAAGUUGAAUAGAGGCCUAUAUCCAAAAAUGCUUGAAUCAGAAACCCUUGCAGAAUCAUUUCUUACCAGCUUUCCUUCAAUUAAUCCACUCUUGGCUCAUGCAAUACUGUGUUCUGGAGGCCUUCUUGUUGAAUUUCUUAAUUGGUCACAUGAUCGCAGAAUCAGGGAAAUUGGGAAGUAUCAUGUUCCUGAUGAAAGUCUUGCUCUAUUUGGUGCUCUAUGUAGAUUUGGGGAGCUUGAAGAAUGUAAGUCUGGAAUGACAGAAUGUUCAUCAGUAUCUUCUGCUCCAGAUUCAGGGGAUAAUCACAGCAGAAGUGCCUCAGAUAGAAAAAAGAGAAAAUAUUUAAGCGCCAGCACACUUGAAAUACCCAUGGAUGACUUGCAGUUGGAUAGAUUAAAUCAAUCUACAGGUGACAACUUGAAGUCUUCUAGAAUGUUUCAGCCAUUUCAAUCAUGGAAUUUUGGCAAAGGUCCUCAAACAUUAGACAAGAUUGAGGGUUCCAGUUAUUCUCUGAAUGAUCAAUUGUUUGGUCCAAAAUGGGGCUUGAAUAUUUUUCGAAUGGAUAAUGUAGACUAUAAUGGCAACAGCCCUGAAAAUAUGCAGGAGGAUUUCAGAGGUGAAGUUGUUGAGCCCAUUAAUAGUUCACUUAUGUGUGAGGACUUUCCCUCCAUUGCUAACCCUUUCAGGAUGCCAAAUAUAGAAAGAGAUCAUAUAACAGGAAAUUUUAUAACCACUAGAUCAUCAUUUGGUCCAAGCAACCAUCCUUCCUUCCCAAUGUCUGAAGAGAUCAGCUCUAGCACAGAUAUCUGGAAUCUUUUAAAGGAUCACAAACCAAGGUUGGAGGAAAACAUUUGUGGAUAUCCAACUAUAGAUGCCAACAAGGGCGCAUCUGCAUUGAGACAACAAGAAAUGUUAGACAAAAGAACUAUCCAGGGCUCUAACAGAAAUGUCAAAGAACAAUUAUCUCAAGAUAGUGGAACAGUACUGUCAAAUUCAAUUCGUUCAUCACAAAUUCAACAAGCAUCACCUUGGACAAUCAAGUUUCUUAAUCGAAUCAAAGAAAAGAGCAGGGCACAUAGGUUAUCCCUUCCAUGUGAAACUGCCAUAACUAGUUUUGGAUAUUCUGGGAAUGCGGAGAAAAUUACAAAGAGAAAAAGUCCAUCAACUUUUGAUCAUUAUAGGUAUCAAGGAGGAAGCAAUCCAAAGAAAACAAUCAAACAAAAGAGGCAGAAGUCAUCGACACAACCAACUUCAUCCAAGAAUGAGAAGAUUGCAGAUUCCAUUCUUCCAACAUGGACUCCUAUUGAUAAGAGAGCGAGACAGACUCUAUCUUUUGUGAGGAAUGCAAGCGGAACACAAAGUAAGCUAGUUUGGAGUAAUAGAAAUCUAAGAUAAAGAUUGCAAAACAAAGCAUGAAAUGGCUGGAUCAUGUGCCAGAACAAAUGCAAAAUUAUAUAUCACAAGAUCCAAAAGAUCAAGGAGAGGAUAAUGGACUGAAUGACAUAUAUGCUUGUGUCAUGGGCCUAAAGCAUCAUGGACGAGUGCGUGGACUAAGGUUGGGUCCAACCGCAACUAGGUUCAAUGGUCCCUGAUGACAGGAAUGAAGAACAAACAAGAAUUACACAAGAAGGGCAAAAGGCAGCUGAAGAGCGUGCAAAUAAAUUGAUUAAGGAAAAUAGGGAAUUACGAGCUCAACUGAAUGAAAUGGAGGCUAGAUUGGCUAAUAGACAGGGCUCCCAAGGCGAAUCAUCUCAGUUUCCAAACCACUCUUCACCUCAUGCUUUUCAAAGCCCCUUUUACCACCAAUUUAGUGCCAACCAUAACAAUGAUUUAUAGAAUUUAACUGAAAGUACAAAAUGUUAUUUGUUGACUAGUCAUCAAGGGAUGUUUGCAUCUGUAGUAGAAGCAACUAUAGGAGUGGUAUCUGACUUGGUCCAGGAUGGGUUAAGGUUGUGAUCGACAUUCCUAUCCUCAAUGAUGCACUUCUAGUACGUCCACAUGGACGUUACAAAACAAUUGAAAGUGUUGUUGGUGUACCCAUUACUUGGUUU
This is a non-coding RNA of Nelumbo nucifera (sacred lotus), 5603 nucleotides long. The record is from RefSeq and is a predicted model, not a curated record. Lineage: Eukaryota; Viridiplantae; Streptophyta; Magnoliopsida; Proteales; Nelumbonaceae.